UUGGGGAAUUUUCCGCAAUGGGCGCAAGCCUGACGGAGCAAGACCGCGUGCGGGAGGACGGCCUAUUGGUUGUAAACCGCUUUUGAUAGGGAAGAAGUUCUGACGGUACCUAUCGAAUCAGCAUCGGCUAACUCCGUGCCAGCAGCCGCGGUAAUACGGAGGAUGCAAGCGUUAUCCGGAAUUAUUGGGCGUAAAGCGUCCGUAGGUGGUUGUUCAAGUCUGCUGUUAAAGCGUGCGGCUUAACCGCAUACUAGCGGUGGAAACUGGAUGACUAGAGUGCGGUAGGGGUCGGGGGAAUUCCCGGUGUAGCGGUGAAAUGCGUAGAUAUUGGGAAGAACACCUGUGGCGAAAGCGCCUGACU
This 361-nucleotide ribosomal RNA is filed under the name uncultured cyanobacterium. RNAcentral describes it as "bacterial SSU rRNA". It matches the Rfam family "Bacterial small subunit ribosomal RNA", at positions 354 to 730 of the family's 1533-position model. Lineage: Bacteria; Bacillati; Cyanobacteriota. The record is from RNAcentral.